UAGGGAAUCUUCGGCAAUGGGGGCAACCCUGACCGAGCAACGCCGCGUGAGUGAAGAAGGUUUUCGGAUCGUAAAGCUCUGUUGUAAGUCAAGAACGAGUGUGAGAGUGGAAAGUUCACACUGUGACGGUAGCUUACCAGAAAGGGACGGCUAACUACGUGCCAGCAGCCGCGGUAAUACGUAGGUCCCGAGCGUUGUCCGGAUUUAUUGGGCGUAAAGCGAGCGCAGGCGGUUUGAUAAGUCUGAAGUUAAAGGCUGUGGCUCAACCAUAGUUCGCUUUGGAAACUGUCAAACUUGAGUGCAGAAGGGGAGAGUGGAAUUCCAUGUGUAGCGGUGAAAUGCGUAGAUAUAUGGAGGAACACCGGUGGCGAAAGCGGCUCUCUGGUCUGUAACUGACGCUGAGGCUCGAAAGCGUGGGGAGCGAACAGGAUUAGAUACCCUGGUAGUCCACGCCGUNNCGAUGAGUGCUAGGUGUUGGAUCCUUUCCGGGAUUCAGUGCCGCAGCUAACGCAUUANCACUCCGCCUGGGGGAGUACGACCGCNAGGUUG
RNAcentral lists this ribosomal RNA (549 nucleotides) under uncultured bacterium. RNAcentral describes it as "bacterial SSU rRNA". It matches the Rfam family "Bacterial small subunit ribosomal RNA", at positions 355 to 896 of the family's 1533-position model. The record is from RNAcentral.